This is a long non-coding RNA of Penaeus vannamei (Pacific white shrimp), 663 nucleotides long. RefSeq lists it as uncharacterized. Lineage: Eukaryota; Metazoa; Arthropoda; Malacostraca; Decapoda; Penaeidae. The record is from RefSeq and is a predicted model, not a curated record.
CUCCAGGCGGUGUUUGAAUCCUGGAGUAGCGGUCCAGUUCAGCCUAUGUCUCCUAGCUGUUCAGACCUGGCCAUCAGAAUUUCAGGUUUGGAUGUGGAAAGGGUUGUCUCGACUUCAAGGCCACAGAAGGGCUCUAGGCGGUAUAGCAGUUUGAAGAAGUCUGUUUUCUAUUUCCAGAUUUUCAGAAGAGCUGGCAAGACCUGUGAAAGCAUGACAGUGGCAGGGCUGGAGGAGCAGUAGAGCUUUCCACAAGCUGAAAGCUGCAUCAGGGGCUGGAUAAGAACAGGAUGGCUUUUACAGAUUACAGGUGUUUGAAUCGUGGUGUAGUGGUCCAGUGCAGCCUACGUCUCCUAGCAGUUCCGACCUGGCCAUCAGAAUUUCAGGUUUGGAUGUGGAAAGGGUUGUCUCGACUUCAAGGCCACAGAAGGGCUCUAGGCGGUAUAGCAAUUUGAAGGAGUCCUCUUUUCUAUUUGCAGAAGAGCUGGCAAGAACUUUGAAAACAACACAUUGGCAGGGCUGGAGGACCAGGAAGUUUUCCACAAGCUGAAAGCUGCGUCAGGGGCUGGAUAAGAGCUGGAUGACUUGUAUGGAUUUCUACAGAUCAGCUGAAUGCGUGCAGAUGCCCAUGUGAGGGGACAUUGGAGUAGUUCUUAUGAAUUUGGU